This 528-nucleotide ribosomal RNA is filed under the name uncultured bacterium. RNAcentral describes it as "bacterial SSU rRNA". It matches the Rfam family "Bacterial small subunit ribosomal RNA", at positions 8 to 525 of the family's 1533-position model. The record is from RNAcentral.
AGAGUUUGAUCCUGGCUCAGAUCGAACGCUGGCGGCAGGCCUAACACAUGCAAGUCGAACGGUAACAGGAAGCAGCUUGCUGCUUUGCUGACGAGUGGCGGACGGGUGAGUAAUGUCUGGGAAACUGCCCGAUGGAGGGGGAUAACUACUGGAAACGGUAGCUAAUACCGCAUAACGUCGCAAGACCAAAGAGGGGGACCUUCGGGCCUCUUGCCAUCGGAUGUGCCCAGAUGGGAUUAGCUAGUUGGUGUGGUAACGGCUCACCAAGGCGACGAUCCCUAGCUGGUCUGAGAGGAUGACCAGCCACACUGGAACUGAGACACGGUCCAGACUCCUACGGGAGGCAGCAGUGGGGAAUAUUGCACAAUGGGCGCAAGCCUGAUGCAGCCAUGCCGCGUGUAUGAAGAAGGCCUUCGGGUUGUAAAGUACUUUCAGCGGGGAGGAAGGGGAUGUGGUUAAUAACCGCAUCCAUUGACGUUACCCGCAGAAGAAGCACCGGCUAACUCCGUGCCAGCAGCCGCGGUAAUA